This 162-nucleotide ribosomal RNA is filed under the name Triticum aestivum (bread wheat). Its description in RNAcentral is "partial small subunit ribosomal RNA". The stretch from base 1 to 78 matches the Rfam family "tRNA". Lineage: Eukaryota; Viridiplantae; Streptophyta; Magnoliopsida; Poales; Poaceae. The record is from RNAcentral.
AUGGCCGAGUGGUCUAAGGCGCCAGACUCAAGUUCUGGUCCUCUUACGAGGGCGUGGGUUCGAACCCCACUUCUGACAAAUCCUUUUUCUUUUUCUUUUUGCUUGCAAUUGCAUUUCUUUUGUCCCGUUUAUAUAUUUAUAUAUGUCACGAACGCAAUCUAA